CAUGGCUCAGAUUGAACGCUGGCGGAAUGCUUUACACAUGCAAGUCGAACGGCAGCACGGGUGCUUGCACCUGGUGGCGAGUGGCGAACGGGUGAGUAAUGCACCGGAACGUAUCCAAUAAUGGGGGAUAACGCACCGAAAGGUGUGCUAAUACCGCAUACGCCCUGAGGGGGAAAGCGGGGGAUCGUAAGACCUCGCGUUAAUGGAGCGGCCGAUGCCGGAUUAGCUAGUUGGUGAGGUAAAGGCUCACCAAGGCGACGAUCUCUAGCUGGUCUGAGAGGACGACCAGCCACACUGGAACUGAGACACGGUCCAGACUCCUACGGGAGGCAGCAGUGGGGAAUUUUGGACAAUGGGCGCAAGCCUGAUCCAGCCAUUCCGCGUGAGUGAAGAAGGCCUUCGGGUUGUAAAGCUCUUUCGCAAGGAAUGAAAACUUAUCUAAGAAUACGAGGUGAGGUUGACGGUACCUUGAUAAGAAGCACAAGCGGACUACGUGCCAGCAGCCGCGGUAAUA
Molecule: ribosomal RNA, 514 nt
Filed under: uncultured bacterium
Lineage: Bacteria
Description: bacterial SSU rRNA
Rfam family: Bacterial small subunit ribosomal RNA
Source: RNAcentral